RNAcentral lists this ribosomal RNA (520 nucleotides) under uncultured Glomeromycotina. Its description in RNAcentral is "SSU rRNA". It matches the Rfam family "Eukaryotic small subunit ribosomal RNA", at positions 569 to 1095 of the family's 1831-position model. Lineage: Eukaryota; Fungi; Glomeromycota. The record is from RNAcentral.
AGCAGCCGCGGUAAUUCCAGCUCCAAUAGCGUAUAUUAAAGUUGUUGCAGUUAAAAAGCUCGUAGUUGAAUUUUAGUCCUGACCGGACGGUCCGUCUCUGGCGAGUACUGUUCUGCUGUCGGGUCUAUCCUUCUGGUGAGCCGGUAUGCCCUUUAUUGGGUGUGUCGGGGAACCAGGACCAUUACCUUGAAAAAAUUAGAGUGUUUAAAGCGGGCUUUUGCUUGAAUAGAUUAGCAUGGAAUAAUAGAAUAGGACGUUGGUUCUAUUUUGUUGGUCUAGGACCACCGUAAUGAUUAAUAGGGAUAGUUGGGGGCAUUAGUAUUCAAUUGUCAGAGGUGAAAUUCUUGGAUUUAUUGAAGACUAACUACCGCGAAAGCAUUUGCCAAGGAUGUUUUCAUUAAUCAAGAACGAAAGUUAGGGGAUCGAAGACGAUCAGAUACCGUCGUAGUCUUAACCAUAAACUAUGCCGACUAGGAAUCGGGCGACGUUAUUUCAUGACUCGCUCGGCGUCCUUAUGGGA